UGGUGGAGUGAUUUGUCUGGUUAAUUCCCUUAACGAACGAGACCUUAACCUGCUAACCUAGACGCGGUUAUCUUUUAGCCGUUGUGCUUCUUAGAGGGACUAUGCGUCAAAAAUGCAUGGAAGUUUGAGGCAAUAACA
Molecule: ribosomal RNA, 138 nt
Filed under: uncultured eukaryote
Lineage: Eukaryota
Description: partial 18S ribosomal RNA
Rfam family: Eukaryotic small subunit ribosomal RNA
Source: RNAcentral